CGUACUUUGAAAAAACGCUAAGUGAAAGAAUCACGCUCACUGUUGGACUACAUGACUUAGAGAGACGUAGUGGCUUGGACCGCAUUGAUCAAAAGGUGCGGAUAAAAAGCUAUUUCCACAAGAUGGAAGAUAGAAAUUUGAUCACACGGAUCACUUUGAUAUCGGAACCUGAGCGAUCAGACAGCAGCAAAGCUCUGCUUCUGUUUCAGAGAGAAGAGGAAUCUUGUAUCUUAGACUUCAAUGAUGAUUGGUAUCACAAGGUAAGGAGUAGAUGCUGUUGG
Brassica rapa (field mustard) is the source of this 281-nucleotide long non-coding RNA. RefSeq lists it as uncharacterized. NCBI's taxonomy places the organism in Eukaryota, Viridiplantae, Streptophyta, Magnoliopsida, Brassicales, Brassicaceae. The record is from RefSeq and is a predicted model, not a curated record.